GAUGAACGCUGGCGGCGUGCUUAACACAUGCGAGUCGAACGAAGCACCUUGAUUUGCUUCUUCGGAUGAAGAACUUGGUGCCUGAGUGGCGGACGGGUGAGUAACGCGUGGGUAACCUGCCUCAUACAGGGGGAUAACAGUUAGAAAUGACUGCUAAUACCGCAUAAGACCACAGCACCGCAUGGUGCCGGGGUAAAAACUCCGGUGGUAUGAGAUGGACCCGCGUCUGAUUAGGUAGUUGGUGGGGUAACGGCCUACCAAGCCGACGAUCAGUAGCCGACCUGAGAGGGUGACCGGCCACAUUGGGACUGAGACACGGCCCAAACUCCUACAGGAGGCAGCAGUGGGGAAUAUUGCACAAUGGGGGAAACCCUGAUGCAGCGACGCCGCGUGAGCGAUGAAGUAUUUCGGUAUGUAAAGCUCUAUCAGCAGGGAAGAAAAUGACGGUACCUGAGUAAGAAGCACCGGCUAAAUACGUG
Molecule: ribosomal RNA, 479 nt
Filed under: uncultured bacterium
Lineage: Bacteria
Description: partial 16S ribosomal RNA
Rfam family: Bacterial small subunit ribosomal RNA
Source: RNAcentral